CCUACGGGAGGCAGCAGUGGGGAAUAUUGCACAAUGGGGGAAACCCUGAUGCAGCGACGCCGCGUGAAGGAAGAAGGCCCUCGGGUUGUAAACUUCUUUUAUCAAGGACGAAACAAAUGACGGUACUUGAUGAAUAAGCCACGGCUAACUACGUGCCAGCAGCCGCGGUAAUACGUAGGUGGCAAGCUUUAACCGGAUUUACUGGGAGUAAAGGGCGUGUUGGCGGGACUGCAAGUCAGAUGUGAAAACCAUGGGCUCAACCCAUGGCCUGCAUUUGAAACUGUAGUUCUUGAGUGUUGGAGAGGCAGGCGGAAUUCCGUGUGUAGCGGUGAAAUGCGUAGAUAGACGGAGGAACACCAGUGGCGAAGGCGGCCUGCUGGACAAUAACUGACGCUGAGGCGCGAAAGCGUGGGGAGCAAACAGGAUUAGAUACCCCUGUAGUC
Molecule: ribosomal RNA, 443 nt
Filed under: uncultured bacterium
Lineage: Bacteria
Description: partial 16S ribosomal RNA
Rfam family: Bacterial small subunit ribosomal RNA
Source: RNAcentral